Molecule: long non-coding RNA, 3617 nt
Organism: Gallus gallus (chicken)
Lineage: Eukaryota; Metazoa; Chordata; Aves; Galliformes; Phasianidae
Exons: 3
Source: RefSeq, a predicted model, not a curated record
GGUGGUUGGCGACCCUGCACAUUGCAGGGGGGUUGAAACUAGGUGAUCAUUGUGGUCCUUUUCAACCCAGGCCAUUCUAUGAUUCUAUGAAUCAUAGUCUGACAUUCAUUAUUCUUUCUAUGAUGUCUCUUACAGUGUUCUGGCAGUUUUGCACUGGCAGUUCAGUGCUUAAGCUGUAGGCAUUGAAACAUGUAGCUUGAAGGCAAGGAAAUCUCUUCUUGGGUCUAGAAAAACCUGAGCACAUCUGGAAAGUUCUGGAAAUGACUGGAUCUGCAAAGAGUCAAUCUGGAAAAGCCUGAAUGCACCAAUUAGCUCAGUGACUAAGACCAAGGUAAAGCAAAGACUGACCCAAGACCCUCAAGACCUAUGCUAGUAUCAUCGUCACUGAGCUGUUUUCCUCAGGAUACCUUCUGUCCACCCCACAACAUAGUAGUUUUCUUCCAGAUGGCUUCUUCUACGUUACAUUAUGCAUACAGUAGCACGAGGAGCAUGCUGCGUGUUAACUUACCACAAAACUUGCAUCAAGUAUGUCUUCAUUUAUGGCAAGCGGAAACUUGGCAUCUGUGGAGAGCUAGAAUGACAAGGAGGAAGAGGACACGUACAUGGAAGGAAUGUGUUCUUGGAGUAGAAAUUCUGUAGGAAGCAUGCAAAGUUGGUGUGAGGACAGCAAGAAGCCUCAGGUGAAGGUAAGAAGCCUCAGAGGGCAAAGGCACCCCAGGCAUACACCAGUGCGUCCAGGUAAAGCCAUGUUCCCCUUGAUUCUAUCAGCUUUUUACUGUUUCCCGGUUUCCCAAGCUGCCUGGCCUGAAGUUCAGCUCCAGAAUCAUCUCAUGGCAUUCUCAUGUUGGUCAGCCAGGGCUAGAAAGCCUGGGGAGCAAAUGAAAACCAUGUCUGGCACAUGAGUGGCUGCAGAAGAGGCUGAAAAGAGGAGGAUUAAGCAGCAGAUUAAGCAUUCCCUGUUACCUUGAAAAGCCUCUGAAAGAAAUGGUUUCAGGGAUUAAAAAUUAAUGUGAUUGCUUUAACAAAUGUUGUUUUUGAGAAGAACAGGAAUGAGUUCCAAGCAGAACUAUCUAAGGGACUGUGAAACAGCCCCAAAGAAAAAUGGUCCCCAAAGAUCCUUUGUUGAGGGUUAUUUUAAACUACUUUGAACAGAGCGUAUAUAGGUGGGGAUGAAAUAAUCCAUACAAUACUGAAAGUCAUUUAUUUCCCAGUAAGACCUAGAAAACAAAACCAACUCACAUCUAAGUGCGUUAGCUUGGAAAGAAACAUUCAAAAUUAAAGAUCUUUUUUUUGUGUGUGUGUGCCAGUAACUCUUUACAGCAGUAGAAUGUUUGCAGUGCCUGUAUUCCUAUCCGUGGAGAAGGUUCUGCACACCAGCCGACGAGGUGAGACACUUAGAAACAUAGAAUGCUUUCCUAAAGCCUGCAAUGUGCAUCAUUUCUUGUGACCAGCAAAUAACUCAGAUGCCAAAAGGCUCACUCCUUUUUGGUACUGGUACCUGUUUGUUCUACUUUUUUUUUUAAUAUAAAUUUGAUUUAAUAGCUUAAGAAAAAAGGAAACUUCAGAAAAGAACCAGAAUAUUAAGGUGGCUGCUUCGUGACAAUUCCAGAUCUUAUCACAGUGUAGCUUUAAUUCCUAACUCUUCCUAAGGCUGUUCUACACUUGAAAUUAUUUUUAUUAGUAUAAAAUCAAUUCUAACUAGAAAUAAUUCGAUCAGAGCUGAUCUGAUACAGCUUUCUGUGAGUGCCUAGGAUCUUCAUGUUUUUAAGGUAAUUAUCUAACAUCUUGGUUAGCAGAGAAGCACCUUAAAGUCCCUUUCACUGACGUGUUACUGAGGCCCAGAGAAACUACAAGUGACGCUGCCGAAAGUAUGGAAGUUGCACCUUAAGAGCAGGUUAUGCAUCCAAAGAACGGAUCUCAGAAUUUUCCAGGCUGUCAGCUCCUACUGAAUGACUGGGAGUUAGGCCUGGGAAUAUCUGAAUGUCAUAACCUUGUUAACUGAAACUCACUUACAAACUCAGAAUGAGAAGUAAACAGGUGCCCAGUUCCUGUAGCCAAACCAUCAGGCCUUUCAUUAGGCGUUUAUUUUCCAUACGUGCUGCUUAGGAAGUUUGGGUGUCUUCAUGUCUUUUGCCCAUGCAGAACAGUGCCUUUUGCCUCUGAAGCAUUUUAAGAAAAGAUAAAAAUUUGUUUGUUCUUUAGGCGCUUCUGAGGUUAAGCUGUAGUUGAGCAGGAAUUGGCAGGAUUGCAGUCUCGGUCAUAGCUACUUAAAGACCUCCCUAAGGUCCAUUUUAAUCACAUAAGCCCUUUUAUAGAUCUGGGCUUAAUGUCCAAAUCCCUCCUGGAAAUUUUAUCCUAAGAGAAUGUCCUGAGGUCACACAGAAAACUUAGCAGAGAAGGAACUGAAGUUAGGUAAUGUCUUCAGGUAGUGCUCUGCCUCUCUGACUGUCCUCCAUAAAAAUUACUUUGUGUUGUAAGAAUGCGGCUUUUGGUGCUCUAAAAUUGUUAGGAAUCUGCCUAUUUUAAGAGUAGAGUCAGGAUGGCUUUCAAAAAGGGGUGCAUGUAUACAAUCAAAGGCUUAAAAAAAGAAAAUCUGUCGAGAAGGCAGAAAGAUGGCAGGAAAAUGCUGUCCAGAUCAUUUAGGGCACACUUCCCUCCCUUGGGAAUCACUGUUAGAAAGGCAGGUGGCACCAGAAUCAGUGGGUUUGGUGUCGGUGUUGGAGUCCCUGUGACAUUCACAGAGCCCACUUGUGACUGUGAAUAAAAGGAAGGUGAGAGCACUAUCUGGGGCUGAACAGUGAUAUUAAGAAGGACAAGGACUUCCAUGGUGCACAUAGCAAAGGGAGUAUAGAGCAACAUUGUUCUCCUUGCCCUGAAGACGAAGGAUGGCUGAACACAGGGAAUGAGCAAAGUCACUUGCCAUAAUUACAGAAUAUAUUAGAUGUGUUUUAUGUCUUCUUUCAACUAAAUUAGUGUUGCAUUUUCAAUACUGUGUGCAAGAAUAUAUGAACGAUACAGUCCUUCACUGAGAACAAUGUAGAGAUGGCACUUUGUUGCUUCACAAGUAAGAAAGUUAGAAAGAAAACCCUGAAACUGAGCUGACGUAAAUUGUUUGUGCCUUAGUGAGGUCAAUGAAUGGUGACAGUUACAGUACUUGAAGAUUUUCAUUCUCUUUCUAAGCAGCAUUUAUGAAAACAAACAUCUUAGCACCAUAAAUCUGACAGUAGAACCCGCUGGCCAUCCCACUUGAAACCAAGAAAUUAGAAUCUAUUCAUUACAGUGCUGUGCCUGCAUUAAGUUGUUUAGUCUUCUGCUUGAAUGUCAAAUUGUUUCUAACACUUGUAAUUCGAUGUUGUAUGUUCAGUUAAUGUAGAAAAUUCUAUUACUGUGUUUAGGUUUUUCCAAAUCUUCAUUAGGUUCAGAUAAAAGCUGAUGCCAAGUAAUAGCAUUAUAUAAGCAAGGAAAAAAAGAAAAAGUGGUAAUAAUUUGGUUUAAACAAAAAGGAGACAGAAUUGAUUUUUAUGUUCUUCAUUGAAUAAAACCACUUUUAAAUCUAUCCUGUGGGUUUUAUACCUUUAAUCUUCCUUCCUCACAUCCUUUUCUUUCCAGUCCUGUAU